UCCUCGUUUAAGCGAGGCAGUCUGUCCAGAGUGCUCCAAACUCUCGUUCGGAUCGCAACAGGACAUAAGGGUUGCGCUCGUUGCGGGACUUAACCCAACAUCUCACGACACGAGCUGACGACAGCCAUGCAGCACCUGUGCACGCUGGUAUUGCUACCUCGUUAGGCUUUCACCCUUCUACUACGUGCAUGUCAAGGCCAGGUAAGGUUCUUCGCGUUGCGUCGAAUUGAACCACAUGCUCCACCGCUUGUGCGGGCCCCCGUCAAUUCCUUUGAGUUUCAGCCUUGCGACUGUACUCCCCAGGCGGCAUAUUUAACGCGUUAGCUCCGGCACGAAGGGGGUCGAUACCCCUCACGUCUAAUGUGCAUCGUUUACGGCUAGGACUAC
This 387-nucleotide unclassified non-coding RNA is filed under the name uncultured bacterium. RNAcentral's name for it is "contains 16S-23S intergenic spacer region". The record is from RNAcentral.